This 1328-nucleotide long non-coding RNA is filed under the name Panax ginseng (ginseng). RNAcentral's name for it is "long non-coding RNA (PGIN_LNC004971)". Lineage: Eukaryota; Viridiplantae; Streptophyta; Magnoliopsida; Apiales; Araliaceae. The record is from RNAcentral.
AUAAAUUUAUGUUCUGAGAAUGUAUCUUAUAACCAAUUUAUCCUGCUUAGGAUGAUAUUCUGUUAAACCAAAAUCUAUUAUAUCAUUAUUUAAUAUAUCCAUGCAUGCUGAUUUUAGUAUUCCUAUCCUCACCCACCUAGCUAGUUGACCAUGGUUUAUACAUAAUUUGACUUUCGCAGCCAUCAAAAGUAAUAAUCACAAAAACCAUCUGAAUAAAUCACGGAUGUUUGUUAGUCUUAGUAUAGAUUUGUUGUGUUUGUUAGCUUUUGCUAGAUUUUUUGUGUUUGUUUGCUUUUUCUAGGUCUUGUUGUAAUGAAACAAUUGCCCUUUCUCUUCCAUUAUUUCUUUUAGUUAUACAUUUACUAAAAUUAGAUGGACUUGUCUUUAGAUAUUUCACGUAUUUACUCGAUCCUUUAUCCACUUAACAGGCACUACUAGAGAAGAAUCCAUCUAUUACUCAAGGACCAGAUGGUAUUGUUACAUAGUUUCAUAUAGUUUUCAUAUUGUGAUUCAAAUUUGGCAGUACUCUCAUCGAUUCUAUCAGAGAUCGAGCAAUUUGAUGGUUUUUUUAGAUUCUUUCUCUUUCUAUAAUCUUUCUUUAGUUUGCAUUAUUUCUAUAACCUUCCCAUGAAUAUUUUUUCUUAGCUUGAUCACUAUUAAGGAUAUUUUUGGAAGAAGCUACGGAAAAUUCACAACUUAUUAGCUAUUGACUUUAGGGAAAUCUAAAAAGCCUAUAUGAAAUAAAUUUGUAUACCCCAUUUAUGACUGACUAAUCUUACAAAACAUUGUAAUUAGCUUAAGGAACAUUUAUAACCUUCUCUCCUUCCAUUAGUAUUAGGCUAUCUGCCGAUGGUGGUUUCGGAACCUCAUUUAAAAUUCUUUUGUUUCCCCUGAAUUGAAGGUAUAUCCAGGGAUGCAUGAAACUAAUGUUUUAAUUUAUCAUAAUAAACGAUUAAAGCAAAAUUUACUCUAUGCUGGUUGAGAUUGAACAUUGUGUGCAUUUUGGUUCUAUCACACUAUUUUCAUGCAUCAUGUACUUUACAUUAAGCAAUUGAUAUUUCUUUAGUUGGACGAUUUUGGGUAACUGAGAUUGUUGAUGCUCCUAUGUUACAGAAUGGCUUCUUUUAGAGACAAAUCAAUGGAUAAAUGGCAGAGGAAGACACAGUUGACAACUGGUGCUGCAGCUAUUAAAGGCAAAUUUCAAGCAUUUAUAAACAAUUGUUGGAACUAAAUUAUUGUAACUUAAUGUUUGAUACAGUAGUUAGCCUUCUCUGAAGAAGAUUGUAAUUAUUGUAAUUAUAAUGUGAAUGAUUUUAAAUCAUGUAUAC